Molecule: ribosomal RNA, 475 nt
Filed under: Salmonella enterica subsp. enterica
Lineage: Bacteria; Pseudomonadati; Pseudomonadota; Gammaproteobacteria; Enterobacterales; Enterobacteriaceae
Description: partial 23S ribosomal RNA
Rfam family: Bacterial large subunit ribosomal RNA
Source: RNAcentral
GGGUUGUGAGGUUAAGCGACUAAGCGUACACGGUGGAUGCCCUGGCAGUCAGAGGCGAUGAAGGACGUGCUAAUCUGCGAUAAGCGCCGGUAAGGUGAUAUGAACCGUUAUAACCGGCGAUUUCCGAAUGGGGAAACCCAGUGUGAUUCGUCACACUAUCAUUAACUGAAUCCAUAGGUUAAUGAGGCGAACCGGGGGAACUGAAACAUCUAAGUACCCCGAGGAAAAGAAAUCAACCGAGAUUCCCCCAGUAGCGGCGAGCGAACGGGGAGGAGCCCAGAGCCUGAAUCAGCAUGUGUGUUAGUGGAAGCGUCUGGAAAGGCGCGCGAUACAGGGUGACAGCCCCGUACACAAAAGCGCAUGUGCUGUGAGCUCGAUGAGUAGGGCGGGACACGUGGUAUCCUGUCUGAAUAUGGGGGGACCAUCCUCCAAGGCUAAAUACUCCUGACUGACCGAUAGUGAACCAGUACCGUGA